UCUCCGUUGGUGAACCAGCGGAGGGAUCAUUACUGAGUGAGGGUCUCCGGGCCCGACCUCCAACCCUUUUGUGAACCACCUCGUUGCCUCGGGGGCGACCCUGCCGUCACGGCACCGGCGCCCCCGGCGGACAUCAAACACUGCAUCCCUGCGUCGGAGCGAUUUAGUAAAUCUAAACAAAACUUUCAACAACGGGUCUCUUGGUUCUGGCAUCGAUGAAGAACGCAGC
RNAcentral lists this unclassified non-coding RNA (229 nucleotides) under uncultured fungus. RNAcentral describes it as "sequence contains ITS1, 5.8S rRNA gene". The stretch from base 181 to 229 matches the Rfam family "5.8S ribosomal RNA", at positions 1 to 49 of the family's 154-position model. Lineage: Eukaryota; Fungi. The record is from RNAcentral.